RNAcentral lists this ribosomal RNA (301 nucleotides) under uncultured bacterium. RNAcentral's name for it is "partial 16S ribosomal RNA". It matches the Rfam family "Bacterial small subunit ribosomal RNA", at positions 509 to 809 of the family's 1533-position model. The record is from RNAcentral.
CAGUAGCCGCGGUAAUACGUAGGGUGCAAGCGUUGUCCGGAAUUAUUGGGCGUAAAGAGCUCGUAGGCGGUUUGUCGCGUCUGCUGUGAAAACCCGAGGCUCAACCUCGGGCCUGCAGUGGGUACGGGCAGACUAGAGUGCGGUAGGGGAGAUUGGAAUUCCUGGUGUAGCGGUGGAACGCGCAGAUAUCAGGAGGAACACCGAUGGCGAAGGCAGAUCUCUGGGCCGUAACUGACGCUGAGGAGCGAAAGCAUGGGGAGCGAACAGGAUUAGAUACCCCGGUAGUCCCUGUCUUUAUACA